UACGAAGGGUGCAAUCGUUACUCGGAAUUACUGGGCGUAAAGCGUGCGUAGGCGGUUUGUUAAGUCAGAUGUGAAAGCCCCGGGCUCAACCUGGGAACUGCAUUUGAUACUGGCGAGCUAGAGUACGGUAGAGGGUGGUGGAAUUCCCGGUGUAGCGGUGAAAUGCGUAGAGAUCGGGAGGAACAUCUGUGGCGAAGGCGGCCACCUGGACCAGUACUGACGCUGAGGCACGAAAGCGUGGGGAGAAAACAGG
RNAcentral lists this ribosomal RNA (253 nucleotides) under uncultured bacterium. RNAcentral's name for it is "partial 16S ribosomal RNA". It matches the Rfam family "Bacterial small subunit ribosomal RNA", at positions 524 to 776 of the family's 1533-position model. The record is from RNAcentral.